Non-coding RNA from Maylandia zebra (zebra mbuna), 472 nucleotides. The record is from the annotation of a RefSeq genome assembly. NCBI's taxonomy places the organism in Eukaryota, Metazoa, Chordata, Actinopteri, Cichliformes, Cichlidae.
CUCACAUCUGUCAGUCAACACAGCAGAAAGCACAACCACCAUGACUCUCAUCACCAUCCUCAUCUGGACGCUGACCUGCUGCUGUUUUACAGGAUGCAGCGGUCAGGUGACUGUGACUCAACCUCCAGUACUGACAUCUACUCCUGGAAACACUGUCACUCUGACCUGUAGGACCAGCCAAGCUGUUGGUGGCUGUAGUUACGGCCAGUGUAUGUUCUGGUAUCAACAGAAAUCUGGGCAAAUUACAAAGCUCCUAAUUCGACAUGUAAGCAUAAGACAUUCAGGAACACCAACUCGAUUUAGUGGCAGUGGAAGCAGCUCUGACUUCUCUAUGACCAUCAGUGGAGUUCAGGCUGAAGAUGCAGCAGUUUACUACUGUCAGAGUUACCACUACAUAAACAGUGCUAAUGUGUUCACACAGUGUUUUGUAGUUGUACAAAAACCUCCCUCAGUCAGACUGCAGAGAAACUGA